RNAcentral lists this ribosomal RNA (251 nucleotides) under uncultured prokaryote. RNAcentral describes it as "partial 16S ribosomal RNA". It matches the Rfam family "Bacterial small subunit ribosomal RNA", at positions 524 to 774 of the family's 1533-position model. The record is from RNAcentral.
UACGGAGGAUGCAAGCGUUAUCCGGAUUUAUUGGGUUUAAAGGGUGCGCAGGUUGUUUGAUAAGUCAGUGGUGAAAGUCUGUCGCUUAACGGUAGGAUUGCCAUUGAUACUGUUAGACUUGAAUAUGGAUGAGGUAGGCGGAAUGUGUAGUGUAGCGGUGAAAUGCAUAGAUAUCACGAGGAACUCCGAUUGCGCAGGCAGCUUACUAAACCAUAACUGACGCUCAGGCACGAAGGCGUGGGGAUCAAACA